Molecule: ribosomal RNA, 324 nt
Filed under: uncultured eukaryote
Lineage: Eukaryota
Description: partial 18S ribosomal RNA
Rfam family: Eukaryotic small subunit ribosomal RNA
Source: RNAcentral
CCCUUAGAUGUUCUGGGCUGCACGCGCGCUACACUGAAGCGUUCAACGAGUAUUCACCUUGCCCGGGAGGGUUGGGUAAUCUUUUCAAAACGCUUCGUGAUGGGGAUAGAUUAUUGCAAUUAUUAAUCUUCAACGAGGAAUUCCUAGUAAGCGCGAGUCAUCAGCUCGUGCUGAUUACGUCCCUGCCCUUUGUACACACCGCCCGUCGCUCCUACCGAUUGAGUAAUCCGGUGAAUAAUUCGGACUGCAGCAGGCCUGGUCUCCGGGUUUUGCAGCGGAAAGUUUAGUGAACCUUAUCACUUAGAGGAAGGAGAAGUCGUAACA